Molecule: long non-coding RNA, 1178 nt
Filed under: Macaca fascicularis (crab-eating macaque)
Lineage: Eukaryota; Metazoa; Chordata; Mammalia; Primates; Cercopithecidae
Description: lncRNA (ENSMFAG00000048462.1)
Source: RNAcentral
GGGGGGCCGAGUAGGGAGGGAGCCCGGCGAGGGAGGAGCUGGAGGAGGGAGUGAGGGGGAGCGGCGGGCGCGGGAAGGGGAGCGCGGAGAAGGAGCCGCAGGACGCUGGGAGGGGCGGAGGCAGGUGCGGGAUCGCGAGGGCGCGAGCGGGAAGGGCCCGGCGGCGGGGCGGGCUGCCCCGGAGCUCGGCGGGGGUCGCGGCGGAGACAAGGCGGCCGCGGCGGGGAGAUGCCGCGCGAGGAAGUGGAUCGGGCGGGUACGCCGGGUGUGCGCACCUGCGCGCCGGGCAGCGGGGACCAGUGUGCUAGCCCAGGGAUGUUCUUCUCAUGGCAAUGACGGAGUGCAAGCAGACACAUGCACAGCCUCUAGAGGACUACAUUUGGCACCAGCUUACUGUCACUUUUGCCUCAUUCUGUUGACCACAAUCUUCUGAACAUGUCCCCAUUCCGUGAGCCCACAGUGAUCUGUUUGUUUUGCCUGGUCCCAGCUCAUGCAUUCUUCAAGUCUUGGUAACCAGGAUGUUUUGUCUGUUCAGGCUCUAAACGAUCAGUGGGACAGGAACCGAAGUUAAGUAGCUCAGGAUGCAUCAAGAUGAACUUGGGAAAACCGCGAGCCGCUGUGCUGACUGGACUGCUUCUCUGAAUCAGCUGGAACUUCUUUUUGUGUCUAGUUUUAAAAGCUCCUCGGAAGCAAUCCUAAAUCCAGAAUCGUUUCAAUUAUUAUGAGGGGAAUUCUGAAGUUCUCAUUAAACACACGAAUGACUCAAGCUUUGAAAAGAGCCAGAUGCCACAGGCAAGAAUCCCAGGGCAUUGCCCACCUGGGUGUGAUCCCCUGAUAACUGUCUAACAAACUCAGCAUGUGUCCCCCGGGCAUGACCAUCUGCUGGGCAAAGCUCCAGGACCCUGAGACAUCCUGGAAUUCCUGUGGUUUAGGAAAGACCUUUAACUACCAGUGGUAGUUGUCUCAUCGUUCUUCAAAUAAUCUGGUCUUGUUUAUUAUUAUCAUUACUAUUUAAUUUUAUUUUAUUACAGCUGUACUUGGAGAAUAGUCCGGUCUUGAGGCCUUUUCACUGUGGUCUGUUCUAGUGUAUGGCUCCCACCAGUGUGAAGCAGAAGGAUGACUUUGCUCUGUUGUCAGGACAACCUUGAAGGAAGGAGCCAAAUGUGUGGAGGUCUGUG